GAUGAACGCUGGCGGCGUGCCUAAUACAUGCAAGUCGAGCGAACAGACGAGGAGCUUGCUCCUCUGACGUUAGCGGCGGACGGGUGAGUAACACGUGGAUAACCUACCUAUAAGACUGGGAUAACUUCGGGAAACCGGAGCUAAUACCGGAUAAUAUAUUGAACCGCAUGGUUCAAUAGUGAAAGACGGUUUUGCUGUCACUUAUAGCUGGAUCCGCGACGCAUUAGCUAGUUGGUAAGGUAACGGCUUACCAAGGCAACGAUGCGUAGCCGACCUGAGAGGGUGAUCGGCCACACUGGAACUGAGACACGGUCCAGACUCCUACGGGAGGCAGCAGUAGGGAAUCUUCCGCAAUGGGCGAAAGCCUGACGGAGCAAAGCCGCGUGAGUGAUGAAGGUCUUCGGAUCGUAAAGCUCUGUUAUUAGGGAAGAACAAAUGUGUAAGUAACUAUGCACGUCUUGACGGUACCUAAUCAGAAAGCCACGGCUAACUACGUG
This 497-nucleotide ribosomal RNA is filed under the name uncultured bacterium. RNAcentral describes it as "partial 16S ribosomal RNA". It matches the Rfam family "Bacterial small subunit ribosomal RNA", at positions 28 to 507 of the family's 1533-position model. The record is from RNAcentral.